RNAcentral lists this ribosomal RNA (464 nucleotides) under uncultured bacterium. RNAcentral describes it as "partial 16S ribosomal RNA". It matches the Rfam family "Bacterial small subunit ribosomal RNA", at positions 338 to 795 of the family's 1533-position model. The record is from RNAcentral.
CCUACGGGGUGCAGCAGUGGGGAAUAUUGCGCAAUGGGCGAAAGCCUGACGCAGCGACGCCGCGUGAGGGAUGAAGGUCUUCGGAUCGUAAACCUCUGUCAGCAGGGAAGAACGGUCACUGUGCUAAUCAGCAGUGAAUUGACGGUACCUGCAAAGGAAGCACCGGCUAACUCCGUGCCAGCAGCCGCGGUAAUACGGAGGGUGCGAGCGUUAAUCGGAAUUACUGGGCGUAAAGCGCUCGUAGGCGGUAUGUCAAGUCAAGGGGGAAAUCCCCGCGCUCAACGUGGGAACUGCCUUUGAAACUGGCAAACUGGAGUGUGUGAGAGGAUAGUGGAAUUCCAGGUGUAGGAGGGAAAUCCGUAGAUAACUGGAGGAACAUCAGUGGCGAAGGCGACUAUCUGGCACAUAACUGACGCUGAGGAGCGAAAGCGUGGGUAGCAAACAGGAUUAGAUACCCUGUAGUC